AGAUACCCAAGGUGUGGAUUGAUGAUCCGUCAGGAACUCGCAUGCAACAGUGGCUCAGUGCAGAAACAGAUGAGGGUCUUGCUGGCAUGGAGUUUGAACUGUCCAACCAACCUCCGCUGGGCGUGUGGAAAAUAG
Priapulus caudatus is the source of this 135-nucleotide long non-coding RNA. RefSeq lists it as uncharacterized. The transcript has 2 exons. NCBI's taxonomy places the organism in Eukaryota, Metazoa, Priapulida, Priapulimorpha, Priapulimorphida, Priapulidae. The record is from RefSeq and is a predicted model, not a curated record.